RNAcentral lists this transfer RNA (75 nucleotides) under Lithocarpus litseifolius. RNAcentral's name for it is "tRNA-Thr". It matches the Rfam family "tRNA". Rfam says of the family: Transfer RNA (tRNA) molecules are approximately 80 nucleotides in length. Their secondary structure includes four short double-helical elements and three loops (D, anti-codon, and T loops). The record is from RNAcentral. Lineage: Eukaryota; Viridiplantae; Streptophyta; Magnoliopsida; Fagales; Fagaceae.
GUCGCGAUCAGAAUGAAAGGUAGUUCACUGGGUCUGUCUGGCCCGGAGGUGCUGGUUCGAGUCCAGCUCGCGACA